RNAcentral lists this ribosomal RNA (410 nucleotides) under uncultured bacterium. RNAcentral's name for it is "bacterial SSU rRNA". It matches the Rfam family "Bacterial small subunit ribosomal RNA", at positions 958 to 1392 of the family's 1533-position model. The record is from RNAcentral.
AACGCGAAGAACCUUACCAACCCUUGACAUCCUAGGACAACUCCAGAGAUGGAGCCUUCCUUCGGGACCUAGUGACAGGUGCUGCAUGGCUGUCGUCAGCUCGUGUCGUGAGAUGUUCGGUUAAGUCCGGCAACGAGCGCAACCCACAUCCUUAGUUGCCAGCAGUUCGGCUGGGCACUCUAGGGAAACUGCCCGUGAUAAGCGGGAGGAAGGUGUGGAUGACGUCAAGUCCUCAUGGCCCUUACGGGUUGGGCUACACACGUGCUACAAUGGCAGUGACAAUGGGUUAAUCCCCAAAAACUGUCUCAGUUCGGAUUGGGGUCUGCAACUCGACCCCAUGAAGUCGGAAUCGCUAGUAAUCGCGUAACAGCAUGACGCGGUGAAUACGUUCCCGGGUCUUGUACACACCG